Prionailurus viverrinus (fishing cat) is the source of this 2369-nucleotide long non-coding RNA. RefSeq lists it as uncharacterized. NCBI's taxonomy places the organism in Eukaryota, Metazoa, Chordata, Mammalia, Carnivora, Felidae. The record is from RefSeq and is a predicted model, not a curated record. The transcript is spliced from 3 exons.
AUCACGCGGGCAACCUGGGCUCUGCCACCCGAAUGGCCAGCAAGGGGCUAGGCGGGGAGAGCCGGACCUGUGAGUGAGUGAGUCAGCCCCCCGGGCGUGGGCCUUGACCGGUGAGAAGCAGGAGGAGAGAGCCGAGCGGACACGUGCCACCACCCCCCCCCCCCCCCCGCUCGCACCUGCGGACCCCUGCAACACAGCCCCAGAGGACCAGAGCUCAAGCAAGGUGCCCUCUUAAACGCUCCACGAGGCACUAGCCUCACUAAGCAAGGGCACUUGACAAAAACCGCAAAGAGGACCCAGGCUGCGACGGGGACUCUGGUUAAAACUGAAAGGACAUCCUUGGUGUAGACGUCCAUGCUGGCCUGUCCUUCUUCCCGCCAGGAAAUGGUCGCUUCAAAGUUCUCGUGUGCUGACCACCGUCCGGACCUCCCGCGGGUCUGUUUCUACAGCCUGUUGUUCCCGUAGAGCGUUCACGCUGCCUUGUCUCCCUACGUGCCCGGUGAUCUGUUCUCGUGUAGAAACCCCGGAUUUGUGACACAGAAGCUUGGGAUGACGCUACCCCUGUCCAGAGAGGACUCACAUUCCUGGCUGCCGCGUCUCUGGGGCACGAGUCACCUCGACGGCGUCACUGCAAUUUCAGAGGUCAAGGUCACGUGAAGCUUAAGCACAGUAUCCACGAGGGUCUGUCUGCUUCUGGUUCACGCUCACUAACAAGGUGCAGCCGCUGCAGUCCUAACUCAAACAAGGCAGGACAGGUUCCCUGGGUGCGUCCCUGGGUUCGUUCCCUGUGGCCGCUGUCACAACUCGCUACCAACUUGGUGGCUGACAAAAACACAGAUUUAUUUUCAGACAGUCCUGGAGGCCAGAAGUCUGAAGCUGGUUUUACUGGGAUAAAAUCCCAGCAGGGCUGCUCUCCUCUAGAGGCGCUAGGGGAGAACCCGUUUCCCGGCCUUUUCCAGCUUCUAGAAGCGGCCGCGUUCCUUGGCUUGCGGCUCCUUCCGUCUCCAAAUCCGGGAGCCCGGCAUCGUACAUCGGUGGUCACACGGCCUUCAUCUUCUGUGUCAAAUCUCCCUCCGCUCCCUCUGUGCUUACAUUUAGGGCCAACUAGAUAAUCCGGGAUAAUCUUCCCAUCUUAAGAUCCUUAAUCGUAUCUGCCAAAUCCCCUUGCGAGGAAGGAUAACACAGGAUUAGCACCCGAUACCCUUAGGGCCAUGGUUCUGCUGACCAGAGCCUUGGACCCCGGUUCUUGUCCCCUGGCCAUAUGAACCCGUCAAGGCACUGCUCGGCAUCUCAGAAAGCACGCUCCAAGAUAACCGUGGCCCCAAGGGCUGCGUUCUGGUGCCCGAGCCUCUCUCUGCCCCCCGCCCUGCCCCAAGAUCUUGCCCAGGAUCCCCCGAUGGUCUCGUUACUUCUCGAAAGCCUACAAGCAUCAUCAUUACUAUUGCAUUUCCCCGUGGUGCUUGUGGGAAGGUUAGUUCCACAGCCUGGGGAACAGAGGCUCAUCGUGCUCUCUCUGUGAUGGACAGACAGUGGGCAGGAGUCAGGCCCCAAGUCGGAUCCUCCCGAGGGCCGGGGGUCAGGUUCUCUAAGUGCCAAUGUCGAGAGCAGACUCCCGUAGGUCCCCUGACCUUUAAGAUUAUCGACUCCAGGAGCGCCCGGGUGGCCCUACUCUGUGCCCAGAGCACGCACAGUGAGGCCUGAGUGCGGUGGCCCAGAGAGUGGGGAAGCCAGGCUGCCUCGCUUCAGAUCCUGCCCUCCCUGCUUGGGUUCUUCCCCUUUUAAAAUGCUUUGGCUGGUCCAGGUGAGUCAGAAGUGGAUCCUAGAACUUGGAAACAAGACCAAUUCCAUCCACCUCUGAGACAGAACUGUUUCUUCCACAAGUUUCCAGAGGGCUGCUCACACAAACCCCCUCUGUCCCCAAGUAAGGAGGAGACCUGCCCCGGGACAGAGACAAGGUGGGGCCGCCUUGGGUGGCCUGGGAGUCCCGGAAGCCUCCGCACUCAAUCCAGGGGCCCCGGCGUGGCUGUAGCCUAACCAAGGACCAUCUCUACUCACUUCCGGAAGGAGCAGAUGGGGAACCAAAUGAAAGACAGACGGCGUUAAUCCAGCCACACGGCUGCCAGGACGAGGGGGACCUGCUUUUAGAAAGAAUCCCCGGGGAGAGGAGGAUUUGGGCCCGAGCCUGACAGAAAGAGCUGCUGGGAAUGGCUAAGUGCGUACGCUCUCAUUCUGGCACUUUGCCGCGAGAAAGAGGGAAUCGGCCAAUAACGGAUCAAUCACUGCAGCUUAACAUCUUUUGAUGAACGAGCUCACCUAAUACCAAGACCUGGUUUCAAAACACCGUCCUCUAAAAGGAAUGAAGCUGCUAG